GGUACGACUUCCACCUUACCAUUGCGAUUUAAACCCAAUUGAAUUAAUUUGGGGGAUCGCUAAGCAUAAAAUUGCAUCAAAUAAUGUGUGCUCAACUGAUAUAAAGAUGGCAGCUCAGCAAGCAUUUGAAAGUAUCUCUGUGGAAAAUUGGGUAAAUUCAUGCAGACAUGUUAUGAAAAUUGAAAAGGAGUAUUUUGAGAGAGGCAGAACUUUAUACACUGAUAUAGAGCAAUUAGUCAUUCCUGUAAAUGAUGACAGCAGCAGUGAAGAGUCAUCAGAAUCCUGUUAUUCUGACAUAGCAGGAACGUCAACCCAAGAUGCUGUCUUCUCAGGUGUAGAAUACGUGGAUGAAUAAUUUGAUUCUGAUUGAAUAAAAUCACUGAUAAUCAA
Molecule: long non-coding RNA, 390 nt
Organism: Amyelois transitella
Lineage: Eukaryota; Metazoa; Arthropoda; Insecta; Lepidoptera; Pyralidae
Exons: 2
Source: RefSeq, a predicted model, not a curated record